UACAGAGGGUGCGAGCGUUGUCCGGAAUCACUGGGCGUAAAGGGCGCGUAGGCGGCUUGAUAAGUAGGGGGUGAAAUCUUGCGGCUCAACUGCAAGGCUGCCUCCUAAACUGUCAGGCUUGAGCACAGUAGAGGCAGGUGGAAUUCCCGGUGUAGCGGUGGAAUGCGUAGAGAUCGGGAAGAACAUCGGUGGCGAAGGCGGCCUGCUGGGCUGUUGCUGACGCUGAGGCGCGACAGCGUGGGGAGCAAACAGG
This 253-nucleotide ribosomal RNA is filed under the name uncultured bacterium. RNAcentral's name for it is "partial 16S ribosomal RNA". It matches the Rfam family "Bacterial small subunit ribosomal RNA", at positions 524 to 776 of the family's 1533-position model. The record is from RNAcentral.